This is a long non-coding RNA of Hibiscus syriacus, 208 nucleotides long. RefSeq lists it as uncharacterized. The transcript has 3 exons. The record is from RefSeq and is a predicted model, not a curated record. Lineage: Eukaryota; Viridiplantae; Streptophyta; Magnoliopsida; Malvales; Malvaceae.
UGAUCGAAUUCUAUAUAUUCGACAUACAAUGAAAAUUCAUUUGCAGUAUUUUAAGUCAACUUCGGAAAUUGUAUACUUUAAUCAUGCAUGUGAAGACUGGAGAAGACAUGCUUUUCUUCAAGAAGGAACGUGAACUCACAAGACAUUGCCGUUUCUAACAUAUAUUAAAGCAUAAAAAUUAAAGAAAAAAAUACCAUACUAUGUAAAU